AAAAACAAACAGAAUGAGGUCCAGGUCCAGGUGGAGGUCCAGGUGGAGGUCCAGGUGGAGGUCCAGGUGGAGGAGGUGUCUGAGUGUGCAGCAGAAGGAGUGGAGGAGUCUCAGUGUGUCUGCAGAGACUGUGUAGAAGGACAGAGCAGCAGCAGAGCAGUCCAGAUCCACUGAUGAUACUCUGUCACAUCCAGAGGAACACACAGGGAUGAUGGUGGUUCACAGCUCAACAUUAUUACAAAUAAAUUUUAAUAAAUAAAAGGAAAAGCAGCAAAUAUUCACACGUGUAAAGCUGGAACCAUGAAAUGUUUUCACAUGAAAAAAUGUAGCUACCAGUUAAUGUCUCUGUCAAUGUAAUAAUCCUGUACUUGUAUUGACUGUUGGGUAGUUUCAUUUAUAAAAAAACAACACAUUUAUAUUGUUUUGUGUUUAGAAAUCUGACUUUGUAAAAUAACUACACUAAAAAGUACAAUAUCUCCCUGUGAGAUGGAGGAGAAGUAGAAAGUGGGUUGAAAAGAGAAAUACUCAAGUUCAUUUUGGCCUCAGGUGAAGAUGCCAGCGAUGGUCAUUCAGACUACUGCACAGGCUACUGCAUCCCAGUCAGCUGCAAGAAAGAAUCAAGGUUAGCUGGUUUAAAUCUGCAGUUAGAGGAAACGUUAGUGUUUAAACAUCUUCAAAAAAGCUUCUUCAAAGUCUCAAUUUAAAAAAAAACAAAAAACAUCUACCUUUGAAAGGACAGAAUAAUCUGGGUACAAUCCAGAAAAUGACUAAACAUUUUAAUAUAAAUGCAGAGACUCGUGGAUCAGAUGUCCUUAUCUAGAUACAGAUCACAUGUUGAUCCAGGGGAAAACGGGGCCUCAUUCAUGUUUAAAAGGGAAAAGUCUGCAGAGGGCCCCUUUAGGAUCCAUAACAUGUACGAAAGCCAUCCUGCUUGGUCUCUUUUAAAAUAAAGUAAAUCUCACAAGAGAAGGCUGAAAAACAAAUCAGGGACAAGAGAAAUUAAAAGCUUCCCUGUACACAAAAGAUCCUGUGGUCAUGUAGAUUUGAAGUAAUGUAUUAGGUAAAAUAUAUUCAAUAUGAUUGUGCUUUUGAUUUUGAGGCAAAUAUUUAAUUAAAUUGCAAAUGAAAAUGUUUGGAAUAAAAUCCACCCAUUGUAGUUAAAUAAAACAUAAGCAUUAUAUUUAUCUAAUCCCAAAUAUUGAAAAUGUUGUGAGAGUGAAUUCAAAUUAAUGUAAUCAGGGAAGUUUUAAUUGAAAAGCACUUCUUGUCAAGAAUUCCCAUGAUGCAUGGCGGUGAAGGGAGUUUUGGUAAAAUUAGCUAAUAAGUGUCCAAUUUGUUUGAAAUACAACAUUUAUUUUGUAAAUUAACCUAACCCUGAUCGGACUCGGAUAUAAAUGUAUAUAUAUUCUCAUUAUUUAACACAUCUAUAGUUACGCGGUGGCACAGAGUAACACAGCAGCGCGAGCGGCAUGACAUCACUUUGUUGCAGAGACGCUAUUGGUUAAAUGCCGGCAAAGUAGAACACGUAAGCAGCUUGAAGCGGAAAGCGCGAGUACGUCUGCGAUCUGGAGGUGUUACAAAGUUGAUGACAACAACAUUGCCAUAGCAAACUGUGAGAUAUGUAAACUAGGGAUUUAACACAACUAGAAGGCAGCUACAUUCAGCCUACUCUGGACUAGAAGACAUACAGAUGGACCUAAAUAUGGAUAUCAAGCGCCUACAGCAAGAUGUACAGACAGGAUGGAACAGCAGCCUCUACAUGCUGCAGAGCCUACUGCAACAAAAACACCAGCAGCAACACUGACAGCUCACCAGUGGGAGCUGAUGAAUAAGACUGCUGAUGUGAUCCCUGCCAUAACAGCUCAUUUGUAUUUUUAUUUAUUGCUUUAUACUGUAACAUUUAUUGAUGUUGUUUAAAACAAACUAUAAUCCCAUGCAUUCAUUAAGUCAUUCAUUCACUCAUUAGUCCUCAGACGUGUUCUGUCUCGGGAGGAUGAUGAAGACCAGGGAAUAAAAACAUUGAAGAGGACUCUGCUGGAGGCAGUGGAGAAGCUGAUGUUGAAACUGAGCCACUCUUCUAGACCCCAGAUACAA
This is a long non-coding RNA of Micropterus salmoides (largemouth bass), 2094 nucleotides long. RefSeq lists it as uncharacterized. The transcript has 3 exons. The record is from RefSeq and is a predicted model, not a curated record. Lineage: Eukaryota; Metazoa; Chordata; Actinopteri; Centrarchiformes; Centrarchidae.